AGCUCCAAUAGCGUAUAUUUAAGUUGCUGCAGUUAAAAAGCUCGUAGUUGGAUUUCGGGUGGGGCCUGCCGGUCCGCCGUUUCGGUGUGCACUGGCCGGGCCCACCUUGUUGCCGGGGACGGGCUCCUGGGCUUUGUCCGGGACCCGGAGUCGGCGAGGUUACUUUGAGUAAAUUAGAGUGUUCAAAGCAGGCCUACGCUCUGAAUACAUUAGCAUGGAAUAACACGAUAGGACUCUGGCCUAUCUUGUUGGUCUGUAGGACCGGAGUAAUGAUUAAGAGGGACAGUCGGGGGCAUUCGUAUUUCAUUGUCAGAGGUGAAAUUCUUGGAUUUAUGAAAGACGAACUACUGCGAAAGCAUUUGCCAAGGAUGUUUUCAUUA
This 380-nucleotide ribosomal RNA is filed under the name Picochlorum sp. Its description in RNAcentral is "partial small subunit ribosomal RNA". It matches the Rfam family "Eukaryotic small subunit ribosomal RNA", at positions 587 to 975 of the family's 1831-position model. Lineage: Eukaryota; Viridiplantae; Chlorophyta; Trebouxiophyceae. The record is from RNAcentral.